This 61-nucleotide transfer RNA is filed under the name Urocitellus parryii (Arctic ground squirrel). RNAcentral describes it as "Spermophilus parryii (Arctic ground squirrel) tRNA". It matches the Rfam family "tRNA", at positions 6 to 65 of the family's 71-position model. Rfam says of the family: Transfer RNA (tRNA) molecules are approximately 80 nucleotides in length. Their secondary structure includes four short double-helical elements and three loops (D, anti-codon, and T loops). The record is from Rfam by way of RNAcentral. Lineage: Eukaryota; Metazoa; Chordata; Mammalia; Rodentia; Sciuridae. RNAcentral also lists the same sequence under 1 other name.
UGUAGCUAAGUGGUAGAGUGCUUGCCUAGCAUGCAGAAGGCCCUGGGUUCAAUCCUCAGCA